Long non-coding RNA from Caretta caretta (loggerhead turtle), 624 nucleotides. RefSeq lists it as uncharacterized. The record is from RefSeq and is a predicted model, not a curated record. Lineage: Eukaryota; Metazoa; Chordata; Testudines; Cheloniidae.
CACCCCCUCCGCCGCCUCCCGUGCCCGCACCGCCGCCGCUGGAAGCCAGGAAACUGUUGACCAGGCUGUUGGCAGCCAAAUACAGCAAAAGUUUCCCCUGCACUGACUGUUGCAGUAUCUCUAGCCCUGACCUGAAGGCACCACCAUCUAGUGGGAUGAGAAGGUUUCUGUUGCUGAUGGCUUCAUGUGUGAGUCCCUGAUGGCAUAAAGCAAUUUUGUCUCUUUGAAAAACAUACAAAGUGAAGCAGAUGCACUGAGCAUGUGGAAAUGAGAAAAAAAUUGCCUAAGAAAUAAUAAACACCUGUAUUCUCUCAGAUCUUAAUUGUUCAUAAGGUUUUGGAGUACGGUUUUCAACUACAGCAUUAAAGAUAACUACAAGUAAAUAUCUGAAGACCCAGCAGAUGUACAGCAUCAGAGAGGAAGAAUGGACUUGUGGUUAAGACACAGGGGUGGUCAAGAAGAGCCGAGCCCUAUUUCUGAUUCUACUUCCUAUUUCUGGGGCAACUCAUUUAUACCUGCCUGUGCCUCAGUUCCCUCACCUGUAAAAUUGAGUAAUAUCAAAUCACACAGACAAUUUGGAAGAUUAAAUUGAUUCAUGGAUCACUUUGAGAUUCUCAAAUGGAA